Anolis carolinensis (green anole) is the source of this 275-nucleotide long non-coding RNA. RefSeq lists it as uncharacterized. Lineage: Eukaryota; Metazoa; Chordata; Lepidosauria; Squamata; Anolidae. The record is from RefSeq and is a predicted model, not a curated record. The transcript has 2 exons.
GUCCUCUUCUGGCCACUGAAAUGACCAAGGUGCCCAAAGGAGGACAAGUGAGAUGAUCCAAAGUCUGGAGACCAUGAAGACUCCCUCUGACUAACCAGAGUUCAGCAAGAUCAGAACUUUGAGAGGAUUUCUUCUUCCUUGCUGCACCUUUGGCUUCCACGUUCCUCAAACUCCAUUGCAUAUUUGUUUGUUCCUCAUGAGGCCAGGGGUAGCUCCAUACAAUCCUCAUUUCCCUGGUCAAGAAAGAAGUAAAAGAUCAGGAAUGAAAGCCAAAA